CCUACGGGUGGCAGCAGUGGGGAAUAUUGGGCAAUGGGCGAAAGCCUGACCCAGCAACGCCGCGUGAAGGAAGAAGGCUUUCGGGUUGUAAACUUCUUUUGACAGGGAAGAGAAGAAGACGGGACCUGUCGAAUAAGCCACGGCUAACGACGUGCCAGCAGCCGCGGUAAUACGUAGGUGGCAAGCGUUGUCCGGAUUUACUGGGUGGAAAGGGCGUGUAGCCGGGCUGACAAGGCAGAUGUGAAAUCCGGGGGCUCAACCCCCGAACUGCAUUUGAAACUGUUGGUCUUGAGUAUCGGAGAGGCAGGCGGAAUUCCUCGUGUAGCGGUGACAUGCGUAGAUAUUAGGAGGAACCCCAGUGGCGAAGGCGGCCUGCUGGACGACAACUGACGGUGAGGCGCGAAAGCGUGGGGAGCAAACAGGAUUAGAUACCCUAGUAGUC
Molecule: ribosomal RNA, 442 nt
Filed under: uncultured bacterium
Lineage: Bacteria
Description: partial 16S ribosomal RNA
Rfam family: Bacterial small subunit ribosomal RNA
Source: RNAcentral